CCUACGGGAGGCAGCAGUGGGGAAUAUUGCGCAAUGAGCGAAAGCCUGACGCAGCGACGCCGCGUGAGGGAUGAAGGUCUUCGGAUCGUAAACCUCUGUCAGCAGGGAAGAACGGUCACUGUGCUAAUCAGCAGUGAAUUGACGGUACCUGCAAAGGAAGCACCGGCUAACUACGUGCCAGCAGCCGCGGUAAUACGGAGGUUGCGAGCGUUAAUCGGAAUUACUGGGCGUAAAGCGGUCGUAGGCGGUAUGUUAAGUCAAGGGUUAAAUCCCGGCGCUCAACGUGGGAACGGCCUUUGUAACUGGAAAACAGGAGUGUGUAAGGGGAAAGUGGAAUCCCAGGUGUAGGGGGGAAAUCCGUAGAUAUCUGAAGGAAAAUAAGUGGCGAAGGCGACUAUCGGGCACAUAACU
Molecule: ribosomal RNA, 411 nt
Filed under: uncultured bacterium
Lineage: Bacteria
Description: partial 16S ribosomal RNA
Rfam family: Bacterial small subunit ribosomal RNA
Source: RNAcentral